Long non-coding RNA from Aethina tumida (small hive beetle), 625 nucleotides. RefSeq lists it as uncharacterized. The record is from RefSeq and is a predicted model, not a curated record. NCBI's taxonomy places the organism in Eukaryota, Metazoa, Arthropoda, Insecta, Coleoptera, Nitidulidae. The transcript is spliced from 2 exons.
GCUUAUUAUGGAAGUUUUGUAAAGAGUUUAUGAGCUUAUUUCAUGAGGCAACCAACAAAGAAGUCAUACCUUUUGUAGUAAUUAUUUUUUUACCAAUUAAAAAUUUAAGAAAUGUGCAACCUGUAGACAACGAAAAAAAUUGUCGUGCUACAUACUCGUCCGGCUGUUUUAACAAGAGCACGUUCACCAUGGAAAAUUUAAGAAUGGAACCAGUGGAAAGACGUAAUAUAAUAAUUCGUGUUUAUCUUGUUGGAAUAGGAAGUAUAAGAAGCUCUCACAGAUUUGUAACAGCUUUUGUAGCAUUCGCCGCAUUGUACCUGGCCCUCCAUAUCAUUAUGCUCUUAGCAUAUGUGGAUUUAACAUUGGCCCUGCGCUUUUUUAGAAUGAGAAACUUCGCCGGACAUAUUGUACGUGUUUGUUAUAUUUAAUUGUAUUUUUUAUUGAUGUGGAUUAAAUUUUGUUGUGAGUUUUAUGUGAAAGAUGUAAAGUUUGUGUAUUACAAUUUUAAUUGUCUGACGAUGUAAUUUUAUAAUGAUUAAUUAACCACAAUAUGAUUAGAAUUACAUAAAAUAUAAAUUUAUGUAUAAAUUCUCAAUUACUAUAAAAAAUAAAAAUUUGCAACAAA